GGGAAGUAGCUUGCUACUUUGCCGGCGAGCGGCGGACGGGUGAGUAAUGUCUGGGAAACUGCCUGAUGGAGGGGGAUAACUACUGGAAACGGUAGCUAAUACCGCAUGACCUCGCAAGAGCAAAGUGGGGGACCUUCGGGCCUCACGCCAUCGGAUGUGCCCAGAUGGGAUUAGCUAGUAGGUGAGGUAAUGGUUCACCUAGGCGACGAUCCCUAGCUGGUCUGAGAGGAUGACCAGCCACACUGGAACUGAGACACGGUCCAGACUCCUACGGGAGGCAGCAGUGGGGAAUAUUGCACAAUGGGCGCAAGCCUGAUGCAGCCAUGCCGCGUGUGUGAAGAAGGCCUUAGGGUUGUAAAGCACUUUCAGCGAGGAGGAAGGGUUCAGUGUUAAUAGCACUGUGCAUUGACGUUACUCGCAGAAGAAGCACCGGCUAACUCCGUGCCAGCAGCCGCGGUAAUACGGAGGGUGCAAGCGUUAAUCGGAAUUACUGGGCGUAAAGCGCACGCAGGCGGUUUGUCAAGUCAGAUGUGAAAUCCCCGAGCUUAACUUGGGAACUGCAUUUGAAACUGGCAAGCUAGAGUCUUGUAGAGGGGGGUAGAAUUCCAGGUGUAGCGGUGAAAUGCGUAGAGAUCUGGAGGAAUACCGGUGGCGAAGGCGGCCC
This 664-nucleotide ribosomal RNA is filed under the name uncultured Rahnella sp. Its description in RNAcentral is "bacterial SSU rRNA". It matches the Rfam family "Bacterial small subunit ribosomal RNA", at positions 70 to 727 of the family's 1533-position model. Lineage: Bacteria; Pseudomonadati; Pseudomonadota; Gammaproteobacteria; Enterobacterales; Yersiniaceae. The record is from RNAcentral.